RNA transcript from Triticum aestivum (bread wheat), 3045 nucleotides. It is a transcript of the gene named ankyrin repeat-containing protein At2g01680-like, with no coding region annotated. The transcript has 3 exons. Lineage: Eukaryota; Viridiplantae; Streptophyta; Magnoliopsida; Poales; Poaceae. The record is from RefSeq and is a predicted model, not a curated record.
CAAACCGGCAGCAUGGCUGCUGUGGCAAACGCAUCUAGCAUGCAUCCCGAGCUGCUGGAGGCGGCAAUGGCAUGCCAUGGCAGCUGCAGGGAACUGACGAACCUUCUGAACGGAGGAGCGGCUGACGUGCCUAUUGAGGUCGUCGUCGACGUCGACCACCCCGCGCGCCCACCAGCGUCGUCCUUGCUCCUGGAAGGGGUCACCCCAGACGGGGACUCCGCACUCCACAUCGUAGCAGCCUACGGGUACCUGAAGAAAAAAGCCAGGGCAGUCUACGACAAGGCGCCGCGCCUCUUGGGCGCGCACAACGGCGGCGGCAGCACGCCGUUGCACCGCGCCGCCAGGGCCGGCCACGCCGCGAUGGCCGCUCUCCUCGUUGAGCUGGCGAGAGGGGAACAAGUCGCUGGUGAAGAUGGGAGGGUGGAGACGCUGGUGAGGAUGCAGAACGGGCUCGAGGAGACAGCCCUGCACGAGGCGACCCGCGCUGCUCAGAUGCCCACGAUGGCUGAGCUGAUGGCAGCGGACCCCUUCCUCGCUCGCGUCCCGGACGACGGAACCGCGCCGUUGUUCCUCGCCGUCUCCCUGCGACAUGAGGAAAUCGCGCGGGAGCUCCACGAGAGAGACAAGAAGCUGUCAUACUCCGGGCCUGAUGGGCAGAAUGCUCUUCAUGCUGCAGUUCUUCGAAGCAGAGAUAUGACAGAAUUACUACUGAACUGGAACAAGGAGCUUACUAAAAAAGCGAGACCAACUUGGAAACACGCCUCUACACUUUGCCGUAUCAUUAGAAACGGGCACACGUGGUAUGCUUCCCCAAUAUGCCGUGCCAGUGGUAAAUGGAACUAGUAUUACAAGUUUUCUGAACGUAGUUGAAACACCAAUGGACCUUACCAUGCUAAUAUUGGAGGCGGAUGCAUAUUCAGCAUAUCAACCAGACAAAAAGGGUCAUUCCCCAUACAUGUCGCUGCUUUAGCGGGAAGACUUUCAUCUGUCAUCAUCUUACUUUUAAAGUGCCCAGGUUGCGCCAGCUUACGUGACGCCCGUGGGAGAACUUUUCUCCAUGUUGCCGUCACGAAGAAAAGAUAUGAUAUAAUUCGGUAUGCGUGCCAGACACCCAUGUUUUCGUCAAUUAUGAACAAGCAAGAUAAUGAAGGAAACACUGCACUACAUCUAGCUGUGGAGGUUGGGGACUGGUGGAGUUUCACUUGUCUCUUCGCAAACAAAGAAGUAGAUUUUAAUCUACCAAACAACAAGCAACAUACCCCGCGAGAAAUUUCAGUUAGCAGUACUCCAACCGGGUUGUACUGCCUGUCGCACUCAUGGAUUUUGAUACAACAAGCUCUCAUAUCUGCCGACGCUACACUUCAUAUCUGUCGGCGAAAUAUCAUGAAAAAGGGACCUAGUAGCCAAUCUGACGCUAAGAUUGAUGCGGUAAUAUCAAACUCAACGCAAUUUCUCGGCCUUGGCUUAGCAUUAAUUACAACAAUGGCUUUUGGUGCUGCUUUCGCCUUACCUGGGGGUUACAGAGCAGAUGACCACCUUAAGGAAGGAACACCAACUCUAUCUACCGAAAAAGUAUUCUAAGGAUUCUUGAUGGCGAAUGCACUGGCAUUUAUAUGCUCGUCUUUAGCCGUCCUAAGCCUUGUGUUUGCAGGAACACCUACAGUUGAAAUACCCAUGCGCUACAUGCACUACAAUAUAUCCAUAUAGUUAUUUUUACCCAAAAAGGCUUUCGCCCCGCUUUAUAUAUAAAGCAUCGACCAACAACAAUCCGGUACAAACGCACGCCAUCACAACACACACACACACCCGAGGCAAGAUACAUAAGCGCUGAGCGCAGCAACACCACCCCAAGCACUACAAGAGCAGCCGGGUCCUUGACCGUGAACACGCCACCGUGAAGAGAUGAAGCCGCAUGUGACGAACCGUGGGCUCCAAGGCGGUGCCUUCAGGAAGGAUACGACACCGGAGCGCCGCCACCGCCCGACCCGAGAGUCAGAGUUUCCCCUGGAGCAACACGACGGGCAAUGAUGGCCGCGACGACGCCUUCAGGAAGGGAACGAGCUUCGCCGCCGCCGGUCCGUCCGAAGAUAGAACAGGUUUUCACCCCGGCUAAUACUCACCGCCACCGAACGCCACACCCCGGUGACCAUGCCGCCCACACGACCAUGGUCACAGGGCAGCACCCAGGCACAGGCUUUGCCCAUGAGCACCGUGACACCACCACCAAGGCCGCCGCCCCGGCAUCCAAGACCUCGACGCCACCUCACCAGUUACCCAGCGCCACGCCACCUAUAGAGACGGGUGGAAAGGCCCCACCUUUUGCACCCCUGAGCUGCCCCCAACCAGCCGCCAUCGGCCCGUCCUGCUGCCGGGCGCGAGACUAGCGCGGUCCUGCUGCCGGGCGCGAGACUAGCGCGGUCCUGCUGCCGGGCACGAGACGGCCGCGGUCCUGCUGCUGGGCGCGAGACGGGCGCGGUCGUGCUUCCGGGCGCGAGACGGGAGCGGUCCUGCUGCCGGGCGCGAGACGAGCGCGGUCCUGCUGUCGGGCGCGAUACGGGCGAUGGACCACGGCUGGGAAAAGCCCAAUCCAUCGACGGAAGUGGAGCGCGGGCAACGGGGAGAGGAAUCGAAGGCCGUCGCAUGCCGCCUACGGACGAACCGACGCCGAAACAUGCCAGCCGCCGUCGCAGCCGACUUGCCAAGCUACUAUGGAACUCUCCACGGCCGGAGCAGCAGCCACACGAGGCCACUGCCCAUCCCGCGCCGCCCGCCGGACUCCAGGACUGAAUCCGCCGGGCAUGCAGCCACCAGAUCGGCCAGCGCACCGGUCCCACCACCUGCGGCGCCGCACACACCACCACACCUGCGCCGCCACCUCCCCCAGCCAGGACGGCCAAGGCAGAGGGGGCCGCCCGCAGCCGCGCCGCCCACGGCCCGCGCCGCCCGGAGGGCCAGAUCCGGUCGACCACCGCAUCCCGCCCCCAAGUACGCCCCCCCCACACGACGCCCGUCAAGCCGCCGCCACGCCGCCGCUACCGCACCGAC